Molecule: ribosomal RNA, 253 nt
Filed under: uncultured bacterium
Lineage: Bacteria
Also listed under: 1 other name
Description: partial 16S ribosomal RNA
Rfam family: Bacterial small subunit ribosomal RNA
Source: RNAcentral
GACAGAGGGGGCAAGCGUUGCUCGGAAUUACUGGGCGUAAAGGGCGCGUAGGCGGGAUGGUAAGUCGGUCGUGAAAUCCCUCGGCUCAACCGAGGAACGUCGAUCGAUACUACCGUUCUUGAGGGUUGCAGAGGAGACUGGAAUUCCCGGUGUAGCGGUGAAAUGUGUAGAGAUCGGGAGGAACACCGGUGGCGAAGGCGGGUCUCUGGGCAAUUCCUGACGCUGAGGCGCGAAAGCGUGGGGAGCAAACGGG